Molecule: unclassified non-coding RNA, 404 nt
Filed under: Galium tenuissimum
Lineage: Eukaryota; Viridiplantae; Streptophyta; Magnoliopsida; Gentianales; Rubiaceae
Description: partial external transcribed spacer
Source: RNAcentral
GUCGACAUGCCCGUGCAGCGACGGCCGUUCGUGCGUUCCUCUUCAUAUCUGGGCACAAGCGCGCUCUAGCCUUGGCCGAGAGUUGGAUUUCCUGUGCUGGAUACCUACGAGAAGGAAUUUUCUAGUCGAAUGCCGAGCGAUCGCCUGAUGCCGCCCUCGUUCCGUCGGUCCGUCGGUGGCAGCGGGCGAUCCGCAAAGCGGGAUUCGUGGUCCUCGGCGCACGAGCGCACUCGUGUCGCCGCGGCCCAUGCUUCUUCGCUCGGACUGAGGGAUUCGGAACAUGCUGUUGGCAACGGGCCUCUCGGAGGCCCUCAUUUGUCGCAUCGAUCGAAAACAUCCGAACGACGCUCGGCGGUGCGCCGGCCUAGGGCCGCGCACCUCGGCGUCCGCGAGGAAUGCUACCU